GACGAACGCUGGCGGCGUGCUUAACACAUGCAAGUCGAACGGAAAGGCCCUGCUUUUGUGGGGUGCUCGAGUGGCGAACGGGUGAGUAACACGUGAGUAACCUGCCCUUGACUUUGGGAUAACUUCAGGAAACUGGGGCUAAUACCGGAUAGGAGCUCCUGCUGCAUGGUGGGGGUGGGAAAGUUUCGGCGGUUGGGGAUGGACUCGCGGCUUAUCAGCUUGUUGGUGGGGUAGUGGCUUACCAAGGCUUUGACGGGUAGCCGGCCUGAGAGGGUGACCGGCCACAUUGGGACUGAGAUACGGCCCAGACUGCUACGGGAGGCAGCAGUGGGGAAUAUUGCACAAUGGGCGGAAGCCUGAUGCAGCAACGCCGCGUGCGGGAUGACGGCCUUCGGGUUGUAAACCGCUUUCGCCUGUGACGAAGCGUGAGUGACGGUAAUGGGUAAAGAAGCACCGGCUAACUACGUG
RNAcentral lists this ribosomal RNA (468 nucleotides) under uncultured bacterium. RNAcentral describes it as "partial 16S ribosomal RNA". It matches the Rfam family "Bacterial small subunit ribosomal RNA", at positions 28 to 507 of the family's 1533-position model. The record is from RNAcentral.